This 374-nucleotide ribosomal RNA is filed under the name uncultured organism. RNAcentral describes it as "bacterial SSU rRNA". It matches the Rfam family "Bacterial small subunit ribosomal RNA", at positions 526 to 896 of the family's 1533-position model. The record is from RNAcentral.
CAGAGGGUGCGAGCGUUGUUCGGAAUUACUGGGCGUAAAGCGCGCGCAGGCGGCCCUUUAAGUCUACCCGUGAAAUGCCGGAGCUCAACUCCGUGCACGGCCGGGGAUACUGGGGGGCUGGAGACAUGUAGAGGCAAGCGGAAUUCCGGGUGUAGCGGUGGAAUGCGUAGAUAUCCGGAAGAACACCUGAGGCGAAGGCGGCUUGCUGGGCAUGAUCUGACGCUGAGGCGCGAAAGCGUGGGGAGCAAACAGGAUUAGAUACCCUGGUAGUCCACGCCGUAAACGAUGGGCACUAGACGCGGGUGGGAUCGACCCCUUCCGUGUCGCAGCUAACGCGAUAAGUGCCCCGCCUGGGGAGUACGGCCGCAAGGCUG